ACGAACGCUGGCGGCGUGCCUAAUACAUGCAGGUAGAACGCACAGUUUAUACCGUAGCUUGCUACACCAUAACCUGUGAGUUGCGAACGGGUGAGUAACGCGUAGGUAACCUGCCUGGUAGCGGGGGAUAACUAUUGGAAACGAUAGCUAAUACCGCAUAAUAUUGAUUAUUGCAUGAUAAUUGAUUGAAAGAUGCUAUUGCAUCACUACCAGAUGGACCUGCGUUGUAUUAGCUAGUAGGUGAGGUAACGGCUCACCUAGGCGACGAUACAUAGCCGACCUGAGAGGGUGAUCGGCCACACUGGGGCUGAGACACGGCCCAGACUCCUACGGGAGGCAGCAGUAGGGAAUCUUCGGCAAUGGAUGAAAGUCUGACCGAGCAACGCCGCGUGAGUGAAGAAGGUUUUCGGAUCGUAAAGCUCUGUUGUAAGAGAAGAACGGGUGUGAGAGUGGAAAGUUCACACUGUGACGGUAUCUUACCAGAAAGGGACGGCUAACUACGUG
Molecule: ribosomal RNA, 504 nt
Filed under: uncultured bacterium
Lineage: Bacteria
Description: partial 16S ribosomal RNA
Rfam family: Bacterial small subunit ribosomal RNA
Source: RNAcentral